GCGCCCGUGGCUCAGUUGGCAGAGCAGUGGGACGGUACCCCACGGUCUCAGGUUCAAGUCCCGGCGGUCGCU
Non-coding RNA from Phthorimaea operculella (potato tuberworm), 72 nucleotides. Lineage: Eukaryota; Metazoa; Arthropoda; Insecta; Lepidoptera; Gelechiidae. The record is from the annotation of a GenBank genome assembly.